This 539-nucleotide ribosomal RNA is filed under the name uncultured bacterium. RNAcentral describes it as "bacterial SSU rRNA". It matches the Rfam family "Bacterial small subunit ribosomal RNA", at positions 355 to 896 of the family's 1533-position model. The record is from RNAcentral.
UGAGGAAUAUUGNUCAAUGGGCGAGAGCCUGAACCAGCCAAGUAGCGUGCAGGAUGACGGCCCUAUGGGUUGUAAACUGCUUUUGUAUGGGGAUAAAGUCAAUCACGUGUGAUUGUUUGCAGGUACCAUACGAAUAAGGACCGGCUAAUUCCGUGCCAGCAGCCGCGGUAAUACGGAAGGUCCGGGCGUUAUCCGGAUUUAUUGGGUUUAAAGGGAGCGUAGGCUGGAGAUUAAGUGUGUUGUGAAAUGUAGACGCUCAACGUCUGACUUGCAGCGCAUACUGGUUUCCUUGAGUACGCACAACGUUGGCGGAAUUCGCCGUGUAGCGGUGAAAUGCUUAGAUAUGACGAAGAACUCCGAUUGCGAAGGCAGCUGACGGGAGCGCAACUGACGCUGAAGCUCGAAGGUGCGGGUAUCGAACAGGAUUAGAUACCCUGGUAGUCCGCACAGUAAACGAUGGAUGCCCGCUGUUAGCGCCUGGCGUUAGCGGCUAAGCGAAAGCAUUAAGCAUCCCACCUGGGGAGUACGCCGGCACGGUG